This 449-nucleotide ribosomal RNA is filed under the name uncultured bacterium. RNAcentral's name for it is "partial 16S ribosomal RNA". It matches the Rfam family "Bacterial small subunit ribosomal RNA", at positions 29 to 523 of the family's 1533-position model. The record is from RNAcentral.
AACGAACGCUGGCGGCAUGCCUAACACAUGCAAGUCGAACGAGAUCUUCGGGUCUAGUGGCGCACGGGUGCGUAACGCGUGGGAAUCUGCCCUUUGGUUCGGAAUAACAGUUGGAAACGACUGCUAAUACCGGAUGAUGACGAAAGUCCAAAGAUUUAUCGCCAGAGGAUGAGCCCGCGUAGGAUUAGCUAGUUGGUGUGGUAAAGGCGCACCAAGGCGACGAUCCUUAGCUGGACUGAGAGGAUGAUCAGCCACACUGGGACGGAGCCACGGCCCAGACUACUACGGGAGGCAGCAGUGGGGAAUAUUGGACAAUGGGCGAAAGCCUGAUCCAGCAAUGCCGCGUGAGUGAUGAAGGCCUUAGGGUUGUAAAGCUCUUUUACCCGGGAUGAUAAUGACAGUACCGGGAGAAUAAGCUCCGGCUAACUCCGUGCCAGCCGCCGCCGUAA